UGAGGAAUAUUGGUCAAUGGACGCAAGUCUGAACCAGCCAUGCCGCGUGCAGGAUGACGGUCCUAUGGAUUGUAAACUGCUUUUGUACGAGAAGAAACACUCCUACGUGUAGGAAUUUGACGGUAUCGUAAGAAUAAGGAUCGGCUAACUCCGUGCCAGCAGCCGCGGUAAUACGGAGGAUCCAAGCGUUAUCCGGAAUCAUUGGGUUUAAAGGGUCCGUAGGCGGUUUAGUAAGUCAGUGGUGAAAGCCCAUCGCUCAACGGUGGAACGGCCAUUGAUACUGCUAGACUUGAAUUAUUAGGAAGUAACUAGAAUAUGUAGUGUAGCGGUGAAAUGCUUAGAGAUUACAUGGAAUACCAAUUGCGAAGGCAGGUUACUACUAAUUGAUUGACGCUGAUGGACGAAAGCGUGGGGAGCGAACA
This 422-nucleotide ribosomal RNA is filed under the name uncultured Flavobacterium sp. RNAcentral describes it as "bacterial SSU rRNA". It matches the Rfam family "Bacterial small subunit ribosomal RNA", at positions 355 to 774 of the family's 1533-position model. The record is from RNAcentral. Lineage: Bacteria; Pseudomonadati; Bacteroidota; Flavobacteriia; Flavobacteriales; Flavobacteriaceae.